AUGUUUACUCAACUCAGCUGUGUCCUUGCUGUUUUUCUGUCACAUAUUUUACAGAUAGAAAGACAAAGUCAGUGUGUUGUUCACAUAUUUGGAUCUUCUUUUACCUUCACAUCGAACAUCAACAUGAGUUUGUCAACCAUCCUCCCCAGUUUUUCCGAGAGCGCAGUGCAGUCCUCAUCUCCUGAACUCUCAGAUGAGCUCACCGCUGCCCUCGCCGCAGGCCGCUGGUGGGCAAUAAUGGAGGUUUCUUCUCCUAUAUCUGAAGAGCCUGAGUAUGGAGACCUCACCUCAGUGCAGUGGCGGGGAACAAUGGAGGCAGGAGAAACUUUGUGCCCCAAGUCUGUGGUCUUCAGUGAUGAAUGUGAGAAGACUGAGUCCCUGCACUCAAGCUUCCCAGCUGCAACACUGAAGACCAAAGAGCUGUGGAGGAAGAAGAAGACACAGGGUGCACCGGUGCCUCCCAGGUCCCAACACGGUGCACCUGUGCCUACAAAUACCAAGAAGAGGGACCACAACUCAUCCCUGGUCUUCAACUAUGAAUCUAAGAAGGCUGAGUCUCCGCGCUCAGGCUUUACAGAUGCAACACUGAAGACCAAGGAGCUGUGGAGGCAGAAGAAGCCUCAGGGAGCACCUGUGUUUGCUGGAUCUGAGUUCACUAAUGAAAUACUGAAGACCACUAAGCAGGGGAGGCAACAGCAAAGAAAGUGGACCGAGAUGAAGCCUCAGGCAGCACCUGAACCUGCUGGAUCCCCACAAAGACCACCUGUGACCACUGGCUCUCAGCGAAGAGGAAAGCUCAUGAUCCCCGAGAAUCUGAGGCAGCAUCUGCUAAAGGCUGCUUCUGAACUGGAAUCACCUGUGUCUGCUAGAUCCCCACAGAGAGCACCAGUGCCCACAGUGUCUCCUCAAAACACAGCCAUGCACACCAAGUCUCUACAGAGAGAAGCUAUGCCUGCCCCAGAGGUGCCAAAACCAAAGAUACCUGAGCCGCUGAGACAGGAGCUGCUGCAGCAGAAGCCCAACAAGAUCCAAGAGAAGCAAAGGCUGAAGAUACCUGAGCCGCUGAGACAGGAGCUGCUGCAGCUGUCGGCUCGAGCCUCUUCUGUUCAAGGAGCACCUGUGCCUCAAAAGACCACAGAGAGGCAAAACCUUAAAAUCCCUCAGUCGCUGAGACAGGAGCUCCUGCAGGUUUCAUCUUGUGCCUCUUCUGAGAAGGGAGCACCUGGACCCAACAAGACCCCAGAGAGACAAAAGCUCAAGAUUCCUGAGCGUCUGAGGAAGGAGUUUCUGCAGCAGAAGCCUCAAGCCUGUCCUGUACAGGGUGAUCCCAUGGCUUUCAAGUCCCCACAGGAAGCACCUUUACCUGACAGGAGCCCUGUGUAUGUUGGGACCCCACAGGGAGCAGGAGUGUUUGCCAGGUCUCCACCGGCAGAGGCAGUGCCCGCUGAGCCUCCGAAAGUAGAGACAGUUCCCUCCAAAACCACAAAGACAAGAAAACGGAGACUUGCUGAGUAUCAGAGCAUUCCUGUCUCUGGCACCCAGGCACUACCCAUGUCCUCCAGGACCUCAAGCGUGGUGCCUGUGCAUUCUGGGACCCUACAGGGAGCACUUGUGACCAAAAGUUCCCCACAACAGGGAUCAAAUCCCAGAAUGACUGAGCAGCAGAAGAAGAAGCGCAGGGAGCAGUGGAGACAGCAGAAGAGACAGCGGAGGCAGCAGAAAGCAGCAGUAAGUCCCUUCCAUCUCUCGUUUUUACUUAUUUUCAGAUUUAUUCUAAAAUAUAAACCCUUCCUUCACCUAAGAUACUAUGUUGUAAAAAGAUUUAGUUAUAUUUAUAUUUAA
Molecule: long non-coding RNA, 1842 nt
Filed under: Carassius auratus (goldfish)
Lineage: Eukaryota; Metazoa; Chordata; Actinopteri; Cypriniformes; Cyprinidae
Description: lncRNA (ENSCARG00000054143.1)
Source: RNAcentral